This is a non-coding RNA of Podarcis lilfordi (Lilford's wall lizard), 8499 nucleotides long. The record is from the annotation of a GenBank genome assembly. NCBI's taxonomy places the organism in Eukaryota, Metazoa, Chordata, Lepidosauria, Squamata, Lacertidae.
AAAAUGUUUAAAGAAUUAUGUAAGAAUAUUAUGGUUAUGAGAAGUUGGUAAAAAUAAGAUUACGUUUUAGGUUUUAAGGUUUUUUAUAGUAAGAUAAGAUUAAAAUAGAUUAAGGUAAUGUAACGACAGAAUAUUAUGAAACAUGGAAAGGAUUUGCUGCAACAAUUAACAAUUAGGAUACAAAAAAAGGGAGGAGGAGGAGGUCAAAGAAAGAAGGUAAUGACAGUUAAGGAUUUGAGAAUAAUGGAUUUGUUUUUAAAUGUUUGUGGUAUAUUUUUGUCUUUUGAUCGUGUUGUGCUAUUUUUUGAUUUUGAUUUUGAUUAAUUUGUAUUGUUUGAUGUGGUUUGUUUUUUCUUUCUCUUUUUCUACUUUGUUUUUUUUUUGUAAUUCUAAUUUUUUUUCCCAAUAACUAUCAUUUAAAAAAAUAAUAAUAAAUGGAUUGCCAGGCAGUUGGAUACCUGCUUCUGCAUCACCUCUCAGACCUGCAAUUUGGUAGCUUCAAUUUGGGUGACAGUCGGCUUCACUUUAAUUACAAUGAUCGCUCAAUCUGGAACAAAGCUAUUUAAAAUGCGGCAGAGGCUCAGCGUUUACAGCCCCCGUUUUCAUUCCAAGUUGUGAUGUAUCCUGUGAGUAAGCAGGACUAGGGCCAAAGCGAUGCCUGCUCGCCUCGGAUGUGGGUUUUUAAUUUUUUUAAAAAAAUCCUUUUCACAAAAGCUUUGAUUUCCCGAUGUAAGCCUAGGUGUUGUUUUUGUCAGAGGCGCUCACAGGCCAGGCCUCCCACUGUGGCAUUGUUGUUCUUCUCCCUCAGAAAGCCUCUGCAAGGCCAAAUGUGUUUUUGUUCUCAUUCAAGUCACAAAGAUAUUGAUAAUAAAAGCAAAUAUCCCUCACCAGGUGCCCUUCAGAAGCUUUGGACUCCAAGUCCCAUCAGCCCCAGUCAAGUAUGGCCUGUGGGAUGAUGGGAGUUGUAGUCUGGGAACCUGAUGCCCUCCAGAUGUUUGAAACUACAACUGGUCCACAGACAGGGCUGGCCCAAGGCAUUUUGGAACCUGAGGCGAAAUAAGAAAAUGGCACCAGGCCUCCACCAAAGAAGAACAUACACUCCAACACUUUCCCAAUGAAAAUAGGGACACCCUAUUCCAUACCCUCCAACAUUUCUUCAAUGAAAAUAGAGGUGUGUCCCCCCAACAUUUCUCUGAUCAGUGCUUUUUCUGGGGGGACGUAAGCAUUUUGUGAAUCUAACGGGAGAAGCAACUAUUAUUAUUUUUUAAAAGUUUCUUCUCUAGCACAGUGAAUCAUCAGUUCCGUUGAAUAGCGUGGUGAAUCGUCAGUCCUGUUGCUGCCCCCGAUGGCGGUCUCAUUUCCUGUCACAGUGUUUCCUGAGUCUCAGAUGGAAGCGAGCAUUUAAUGUGUGAAGUAGGAAUUAGAAUCUAGCACAGUGAUUGGUCAGUUUCAUUGUUACCAUCUCUGAUGGCGGCUUCAUUUCCUUCAUUUCCCGGUGUUUCCUGAGUCUCAGAUGGAAGUGAGUGUUUAAUGUGCGGAGCAGUGUGCAAUGUGGAGGUAACUUAUUUAUUUAUUAUUAUUUAUUUAUUACAUUUCUAUACCGCUUUAUAUUUUUAAGAAAAAUCUCAAAGCGGUUUACAACUUAUUAAAACAUCAAUAAAGCAAUCUUGAAUCAAAGAAGAAAGUCAAAUAUAGGGUAUACAGUCAAAGUGAUAUAAUUAACAGAAAACUAAAAUAUUAACCUAAAUUUCAAAAUAAAACAUUACAAAGGAGGUCAGCUACAGAAUGCAUACUUAACACAAACAAAGUUAGCAACAACAAACAUCUUAAACAAUUUUUUAAAAAAACAUUGCUAAGUGAAGUCAAACUAUAAAAUGCACAUUUAAAACAGCAUAAUUAACAAGAGAAUAAAAUAUUAUCAUGACACGGCUGUUUGACAGGCACAAAAAGAUGGGGCAAAAGAAUCCAAUAAUUAGGAUUUGUUGUCAUGCAUAGCAAUGUCCUUCUGGUCUCACCAGAAGCCUCUUUUGUAGCAUGUUCUUUAUACUUUGGUCCAUUUACUGUAUUUAUUUCCCCCGAUUUGAACUAUAAAAUGGUGAUUUUCUUGAGUCAAAAUGAGAGUACCCCUAAACCUUUUUUAAAAAAAUUAAAAAGUACUGUCUCUGAUGAAGAAAGGAACAUCUGUUUGUGGGCUUCCCCUAGGCAUCUGUGAGGACUGGAAGUUGGACUUAGACGGGCCUUUGAGCUUACCUGACGGGUCUCUUUCUUAUGUGCAAGUGAUUCAGCAAGGACAGGAACCAGAAAAUAGGGACUGCACUUGAUAAUGAGCGAUGGUUAGAACAUAUGGGGAAAUAACAUCAUAAAAAAUCUGGAUGAUGGUUUCGAUUUUAAAAAUCUGCUUUUGUGUCUCUGUGCCGGGUCAAGUACCUAUCUCCACAGGAGUCAACUGCUGCCGAAUAACACCCAGUCUCUUUUCUUUUGCUCUGACACAUCAUUCUAAUUUGCUCCUCUGUGGUGAUACUCAGUCAUAACCACCCACAACCACUUGUGCGUACCCAGUCCUACUCACACAGCUCUCGCCCCUGCCUGGUCACACUGAAUCAUCCUUCCUGAAUACCCAUCCAUGCAGCUGUUUGCCGCUUCACAACUGCUAACUUUUCUACCAAUGCCCUAUGGAUUUGGAGCGAUGAAAAUGCCCACUCUUCUCCUCGUCUCUGUAAGCUGCUAAAACCAAGUUGCCGCUGUUAAAAAAACCAGGCCUUUCCCCUUUACCUUGAACAGAAAUUCGGAAGGUCUUGUUUUCUUCCUGCCCAUAGAUGCCACUUUCUUGGUGAAAUUUUGCUCCUGGAGGGGGUACCAGACAAUUGCUCAGGGAUUCUAACAGAGCUACAUAUCCAUGUCAGCAAAAGUCUGAGACUAUGGGCUAGCAGUAGUUAUCUCCAUCAAUCCUGUCACAGAGGGGAUUAUUAUUAUUAUUAUUAUUGUUAUUAUUAUUAUUAUUAUUAUUGGUGAAUCUAUUUUGAGUCCUGGUUUCUCAGUGCUAAAUUUCAUUUGCUACUUUUCUGCAUUGGUUUUGUUUUUAACUAAAAAAAGAAAGACUUCACAAAAAUUGUCAACACUUUAGUGCAGAUAUUCUCCUGAUGUGAAUAUUUCUGUACGCAAUUGUGCCUCACAUACACAUCUUGGCAAGCAACAUCUCCCUAACAGAAUGCAAUUUUUUAGAAUGCACUCAUGUUCAGCACACUUUCCUAAAUGUAUGCAUUUUAUGAACACAUAUUUUUUAUUAUUAGAGAAUUGCAUCGCAAAACUCAGAGAAGUGUGGCUUGGGAAGGAUGUGAACUGAACAGAAUUUCAUCCCACCCCUAGUUUAAAGAGCAAAACUGACCUUUAUUUGAGUUCCAUUUUGGGGCCCUAUUCUCAUCAUCCAGUGUUUCCAAAUGCUGUGAAUCUUCAUAUAUAUAAACAUCGGUUUCCUCAGCUUUUACACAACACUGUCAUUGUCCUUUUAACUGCUAUUGGCUUAACUACUCUGAUGUCACAGAGAUAUUCAGGCUGACUAGCUGAACAGUAAAGGAAACCUGAGAGACUUUAGAAUUAAAAUUCUAAGACCAACGAGCAGCUUUUGUUAAACCAUGCAAGUAUUCCUUCACACCACUGACUUUUGAACAAAUCUUUGCUGGUGCAGAUCUAUUUCAAUAUGGACAGUGCUGCUGCAUACUUAGUUUGAAGAUGAACCAAUUGUUUUACUACCACAAAACUGCUUUUAGCGCUCUUAGUUUAGGCCAACGAUGGGGUAUCUGUUGUUGGACUACAGCUCCCAUCAUCCCUGACCAUAGGGUCAUAUUAUGUGGGCUGCUGGGAGUUGAUGUCAGGGGCUGGCUGGCUGAGGAGGAGUGGUGGAAGCUGCCUGACCAAGAGUCCCCCAGGGGAAGCACAGAGGGAGAGGAAUUGGAUCCUGGCGGUGGGAAACCGGCCACAGCCCAAAGGAGGGGAUGAUCUGGGAACUACUGGAGGCAGGGAGCUUGAAGGAUGAUGAAGAGAAGGAAACAGGCAAGUGCCCCAGCACAGGGCAGGGACAGGAAUCAGACUUGGCAGCUCUACGGCAGAGCCACUCUGACAGCUUCUCUGCUGACAGCCUGCAAGGCAGCCCCCUCCCAGAACAAUGCAUCUACCUGAUGGUACCUCUGGUUGCGAACGGGAUCCAUUCCGGAGGCCCAUUUGCAGCCUGAAAAGAACGUAACCCACGCCUGUGCAUCUGCACACACGUGGGUCGCCAUUCGCAGCUUCUGCGCAUGCGUGUGACUUCAUUUUGUGCGUCUGCGCAUGCGCGAGCGGCGAAACCCGGAAGUAACCCGUUCCAUUACUUCCGGGUUGCUGCGGGAUGCAACCUGAAAACGCGCAACCUGAAGCAAACGUAAUAUGAGCUAUGACUGUAUUGGACGUCACUGAUCAGACAGCCAAGCGGACACAGAGAGGGUCCCUUGGGACUCGCCGUAGACAGAGAGAUGGGUCUGACACAGAGGGCUAGGGAGGGAAGUGGGCAGUCUGGGCAACUGCUUCAUCAAGACAGGAGCAACACUUAGAAGUCUCCAUGUGUUCUUUGUUCUGCUUCCUUCAUAAAGAAACUAGCUGCAAGUUAGCCAAGCGGUUUCACUGUCUUUCUCUGGUCUGUGAACAACCUGCUCUCCUUGUCAGCUCCCUGACAGUUGCAGUGCAGUAACAGCUCCCCAUCCCCUCAGUGAUACCCAAGGAGCCAUUUCAAAACUUGAAUGCAGGCAAAGACCUACAUAGAUGCAAAUUAGCAAGGAACAAGAUUUUUCUCUGAGAAGCACCACCACCAUGGUUCAAUGAUCCAAUGGCCAACGUGGACUGCUAGAGUCAUUCCAGUACCCAGGGUUUGCUGGCUUUGCUGGUCUGUGCAAUGCUAUGAAUGCAAAAUGACGAUCUACAACUGCCUGUGGCAAUAAGAUGCAUUUUAAUAUCCAGCUUAAUUUUAAGUUUUUCAGUUGGGGAGGAGAAAAAAGGGGCUCCCAGUUUGAUGAAUUUCAUUUGGUUUUAUAUUAUGCAUGGCUUCUUUCAGUAGCUCUAGUUUUUUUUGCAAGUGGUGCUUUUGUAAGCUUUUUAAAAAUAAAUUCAGAAAGAGAUUCUAUUAUCACGCCAUGAUUCAUACUCCUUAAAGGCCUCCAAGCCACUCCUUUACCUGCAAGGCCCCUUCUAGGCAGAUAGCCAGAUCAGCUACUCUGCUCCCCACACACAGUAUAGCCAAAAAUAGGACCGACAAGCAGCUGCACAGAUUUUUCUCAAAGCAGCAUGCCAAUGACGAACCAUCUCGGCUUCACAAUCAGGAGCUGUUGUUUAAUCAGAGCCAUAUUUAUUAAAGUAAACAUGUAAAUAAUCAGAAGCAUUUCAUUCAAUCAUAAGGAUUUGUGGCAUUCAUUAAGCUGUGCACUCAUCAGCCUGGAAAUGGUAUAGGCUGGGGUUCACCUCUCACAAGGAAAGCGACUGUUCAGAAAAUAGAAUUUAGUCAGGUAUUCGAUCUGUGUCCUCCUCCUCUGAGUAGUAAUAAGGACUAGUGGCUUGGUUUGGAGAUUUAGCGGCCUUGCCAAAUAAAAACAACUCUGUUCCCGAUCCCUAACCCUCCAGCUCCCCCGAGGGAUUAUCGUAAUCUUUCUUAGUAUAUUAAGCAAAAUGACAAAUGCAUUAAGGUGCGGGGGUGAGAUGAGCCUGUUAGAAUUCCCUAUCAGGCUAACGAGGAAGCCAGAUGUGAAAGCCUUUGGCCCUUUCAUUACACACCUUUAGGUGCCAGGCAAAAACGUUCCUUUUUAACCAGGUCUUUGGUUGAUCUGAUUGACAUCCUAUGCCCUUUUAAAAUGUGUUUUUAUUGGCGGGGGCUAUUGGGUUAUUGUUUUUAUUUUUAUUAUGCAUUUUGUGGUUUUAUAUCUUUUAUAUCUUGAUUUUAAUCUGUGAACCGCCCUGAGACCUCCGGGUAUAGGCAGGUGUUAUGUACUGAAGUUCUCACCCUGGGCCAGCAGGGGGAUACUGUAGACAGUUUUCACUCAGGUCCACGUCAGUUAUUUUAGGCGGGAAACCCUGGGUUGUUGUUGCUACAAUGUUGACAGCCGGCUGCCUAUAAAAGCAGGCCGGCUGAGCUGUUUGCUGUUCAGUUCUGUUCCAGCUUACAAAAUAAAGAGCUGCUUUGGAGAAAUCGCUGUGUCGUCUGCCAUGUCUACCCACUAUUCAACAGCAGGUAUAUAAAUUCAAUAAAUAAUAAAAAUGUUGAUGAUGUGCAUGAGCCACACGUUGCACGUGUGACGUUGCGUGUGUGUAACGUUGGGCCCCCUCAAUAUUGGGUACAAGACGGUGCCACUGCCUGCCACUCAUUUUUACUCACUCAAUCUUUUCUGGACUCAGCAAAUGAGUCGGGUGACUGACUUAGACAGUCCCAAGGGAGCGGGGUCCGAGUCAUCACUCCAGGAUAUAAAGAGAAGCAGUAGAAAUCCUACUUACAUUUUGAACAUGCUGGAAGUUUCUCCUGGAUGACCGCUUUGCAGUAUCUAAAUCGACCUAGAAUGCCCACUUAACCUUCACCCCAACCCCUAAUCCUACCUCUACCCCCAAUCCUAAAUCUCUGUCUAAAACAACCGUACACAAAAUAUACACACAAGGUAUAUAAAAAGAAAAGUGUACACAAAAUAAAUGAAGGUUUGCAUUGGGAAAAAACAAAAAAUAAAAGAAAGACUAAAAUAAAUACAGAAGCAGUAAAUAAAGACUAAAAUAAAGAAUAAAAUAAAUACAGAAGUGAAAAAAGAAGAAGUAAAAAGUAGACAAAAAUAGAACUCUCUAAUCUCUCCUCCUCUCCAUCACCUCCUGACUCCCUCUGGCUAACCCACACUGGAUAUCUGUGGUUGGUGGUUUUUAAGCCAGAAGCAAGAGAUGUCACAAAGGAAGGUGGGAUGCUGUUACCUUGGCAACCCACCUACCUUGACACUGGGGCAGUAUUGCUCCUCCUGAGUCGUGAUUAUUCUUCAGGACUUUGAGGCAUCUGCUCAGAGGGGAAUCUCCUCCUUCCUCUCCUGUCAAGAGGUUUCUUCCUGUGCCUGCCUGUCUCCUCAUCAGGUCCAUUCUUUCGCUGCUUUAUUUCCCCAGCAAAAUCUUAAUUGCUGCCGGAUUGAUUCUUGCACUAGGGGGAAUACCAUUUAUUUUGAAAUUAUAAUUAGAUAUCUAGUCCUCUUAGGGUCUGCAGGUAAGCAGUCUUUCAAAAAGCCUCUGAAAGUUGGAAGCUAAGUAUAGCUAGGCUUUGCAAGUCGUGAAAAGGCAAAUGUCCUCAGAGAUUCCUCGCGACUUUAAUUAGGCAUGACCUUAGCCAGCUAGAAAAGGAUGCUACUCAGUCUAAGCUAGAAUAUUAUUUGGGUGGCUUCAGGGAGGUUCGGGAGUUUGCAUUUUGGCAUUCUUCAUGUGUUUCAAGAAUUUCAGGAAAUGUAUUAUUAGUAGUAAUAGAGUUCUUCUUCCUCAGAUGACAGCAGUCAACUUAUGAGCAUUCUCAGAGCUAACCUCUGAAAUAUGGCGAUGAUGAUGAUGAUGAUGAUGUCACCUUUCACAAACACACAAGAACAUAGCUUCCAACAUUUCUCUGAUGAACAUAGGGACAUGUCAAGACCCCGUGACCACACAGUUCCCUUGGGAGUGAAUAACCAGACAAGACAACGGCAUGUAGAUUUAUAGGUUCAAAUAGGCCACAACUUUAAUGGCUACAGAUAUGAAUGGUUUGGCACAGACACUGGGUGAAGCCAAAUUAUUCCACUCUACUAAAUCCAAUAAGUGUUGGAAAGAGUAAGAAGGUUCCUUUUAUCAUACGUGGUGGUCUUGCAGUAAGGUUAAGGCUUACUGGGAAAUGAUGUACAAUGAAAUGAAAAAGAUGUUCAAAAUAACAUUUGUAAAAAACCCCAGAAGCCUUUCUCUUGGGAAUUAUAGGGAAAGAACCACCUAAAUUGUAUAGAAACUUAUCCAUGUAUGCUACUACAGUGGCAAUAAUGUUAUUUGCCCAAAAAUGGAAAGAAGAAGAAGUCUCAGCAAAGGAAGAAUGGAUACAAUGGAAUAUGCAGAAAUGGUGAAACUUACUGGAAGAAUAAGAAAUCAAGAUAAUAAACUUUUUAUAAAAGAGUGGAAAUGGUUUAUUGAAUAUGUGCAGAUAAAUUGUAAACAGAUAAAAACACUGGGAGGAUUAUUGUAAUAACCUGCAAUUACAUAAGAGUAUAUAUUUAAAGAAGAUAAAUAAAUGAGUAAGUUAAGUGAAUUUGGAUAUGCAGAAGAUAUUAAAAAUAAAUUUAAGGAAGCUCAGAAAGAGGGGGAAGUCAAGUUUUAAAAUGUCAAAAUUGUGGUAAAAUCAGUGAAAUGUAUAUAUCUUAAAAGUAUAAAUAAAAAAUAUUUUAAAAAACACAAACACGCAAAUUAUUCCACUCCAGCCCAUCUGCCGACAGUGCAUCUAAGGGUAAACUACAG